This 332-nucleotide ribosomal RNA is filed under the name uncultured bacterium. RNAcentral's name for it is "bacterial SSU rRNA". It matches the Rfam family "Bacterial small subunit ribosomal RNA", at positions 1 to 334 of the family's 1533-position model. The record is from RNAcentral.
CUAGCGACUUCAGAGUUUGAUCCUGGCUCAGGAUAAACGCUGGCGGCGUGCCUAAUACAUGCAAGUUGAACGGAGAGCUUCGGCCCUUAGUAGCGAACGGGUGAGUAACACGUAGGCAACCUGCCCUGUUGACUGGGAUAACAAUCCGAAAGGAUUGCUAAUACCGGAUAAUAACUUGUGUCGCAUGACACAAGGAUGAAAGUUGGGAUACAACACAACAGGAUGGGCCUGCGGCGCAUUAGCUAGAUGGUGAGAUAGCAGCCCACCAUGGCAAUGAUGCGUAGCCGAUCUGAGAGGAUGUACGGCCACAUUGGAACUGAGACACGGUCCAG